This 487-nucleotide ribosomal RNA is filed under the name uncultured bacterium. RNAcentral's name for it is "partial 16S ribosomal RNA". It matches the Rfam family "Bacterial small subunit ribosomal RNA", at positions 899 to 1397 of the family's 1533-position model. The record is from RNAcentral.
ACUCAAAGGAAUUGACGGGGACCUGCACAAGUGGAGGAGCGUGUGGUUUAAUUCGAUAGCAAGCGAAGAACCUUACCGAGGUUUGACAUCUCUAGAAAGCCCUGGAAACAGGGCCGUGCCGCAAGGAACUAGAAGACAGGUGCUGCACGGUUGUCGUCAGCUCGUGCCGUGAGGUGUCCCGUUCAGUCGGUUAACGAGCGCAACCCCUAUCCUGUGUUGAAUUUUUCACAGGAAACUGCCCCAGUUAAUGGGGAGGAAGGUGGGGAUUACGUCAAAUCAGCGUGGCUCUUACACCUCGGGCUACACACGCGCUACAAUGGGUAGUAACAAUGGGUUGCCAAACCGCAAGGUGGAGCUAAUCCCAACAAACCUACCCUCAGUUCGGAUUGGGGGCUGCAACUCGCCCCCAUGAAGUCGGAUUCACUAGUAACGGCCGGUCAGCCAUACGGCCGUGAAUACGUUCUCAGGUCUUGUACACACCGCCCGU